GGGUCUGUAGCGCAAUUGGCUAGCGCACCUGACUCUUAAUCAGGGGGUUGUGGGUUCGAUCCCCACCAGACCCA
Molecule: transfer RNA, 74 nt
Filed under: Kurthia sibirica
Lineage: Bacteria; Bacillati; Bacillota; Bacilli; Caryophanales; Caryophanaceae
Rfam family: tRNA
About the family: Transfer RNA (tRNA) molecules are approximately 80 nucleotides in length. Their secondary structure includes four short double-helical elements and three loops (D, anti-codon, and T loops). Further hydrogen bonds mediate the characteristic L-shaped molecular structure. tRNAs have two regions of fundamental functional importance: the anti-codon, which is responsible for specific mRNA codon recognition, and the 3' end, to which the tRNAs corresponding amino acid is attached (by aminoacyl-tRNA synthetases). tRNAs cope with the degeneracy of the genetic code in two manners: having more than one tRNA (with a specific anti-codon) for a particular amino acid; and 'wobble' base-pairing, i.e. permitting non-standard base-pairing at the 3rd anti-codon position.
Source: Rfam by way of RNAcentral